CGGUAAUUCCAGCUCCAAUAGCGUAUACUAACGUUGUUGCAGUUAAAAAGCUCGUAGUUGGAUUUCUGAUCUUUGCCAAUGGUUGUGUCGCCGCGUGCGAGGCGCCUUGCGCAGAGGUCAACAUAUGUCACGAGCCAGUGUGAUCUAUUCAUUUAGGUCCACUGGGUAAUGACUCGUUUACUUUGAGAAAAUUAGAGUGUUCAAAGCAGGCAUUUGCCUUGAAUAUGUUAGCAUGGAAUAAUAGCAUAGGACUUCGGUUCUAUUUGUUGGUUGUUCGAGAAUUGGAGUAAUGAUUGAUAGGGACGGUUGGGGGCAUCCGUAUUCUCAAGCGAGAGGUGAAAUUCUUGGACCUUGGGAAGACGAACAGCUGCGAAAGCGUUUGCCUAGGACGUUCUCUUUAAUCAAGAACGAAAGUUGGGGGAUCGAAGACGAUCAGAUACCGUCGUAGUCUCAACUAUAAACUAUGCCAGCUAGGGAUCGGUGGGUCUUUGUCACGAGUCCAUCGGCACCUUACGAGAAAUCAAAGCAUUUGGGUUCCGGGGGGAGUAUGGUCGCAAGGCUGAAACUUAAAGGAAUUGACGGAAGGGCACCACCAGGAGUGGAGCCUGUGGCUUAAUUUGACUCAACACGGGAAAACUUACCAGGUCCGGACAUAGUAAGGAUUGACAGAUUGAAAGCUCUUUCUUGAUUCUAUGGGUGGUGGUGCAUGGCCAUUCUUAGUUGGUGGAGUGAUUUGUCUGGUUAAUUCCGUUAACGAACGAGACCCGCGCCUGCUAAAUAGUCGGCCUCACUUCUGUGGGUGUUGUACUUCUUAGAGGGACCAUCCUGGGUAUACCGGAAGGAAGUUGCGGGCAAUAACAGGUCUGUGAUGCCCUUAGAUGUUCUGGGCUGCACACGGGCUACACUGCAAGAUACAACAAGCGUCGAUCACGCCUGACUGGAAGGUCCGGCCAAUCUUUGAAUAUCUUGCGUGAUUGGGAUAGACCAUUGCAAUUAUUGGUCUUCAACGAGGAAUUCCUAGUAAACGCGUGUCAACAACACGCAUUGAUUACGUCCCUGCCCUUUGUACACACCGCCCGUCGCUCCUACCGAUUGGAUGUUUCGAUGAGCCGUUUGGAGGACUAAGCUGAAAGCGUCAGCCGGAAGCUACGUCCGAAAUUCUGCAAAUCUGAAUAUCUAGAGGAAGGAGAAGUCGUAACAAGGUAGCCG
This 1209-nucleotide ribosomal RNA is filed under the name uncultured stramenopile. RNAcentral describes it as "SSU rRNA". It matches the Rfam family "Eukaryotic small subunit ribosomal RNA", at positions 577 to 1805 of the family's 1831-position model. The record is from RNAcentral.